RNAcentral lists this ribosomal RNA (1434 nucleotides) under Klebsiella aerogenes. RNAcentral's name for it is "bacterial SSU rRNA". It matches the Rfam family "Bacterial small subunit ribosomal RNA". Lineage: Bacteria; Pseudomonadati; Pseudomonadota; Gammaproteobacteria; Enterobacterales; Enterobacteriaceae. The record is from RNAcentral.
ACGCUGGCGGCAGGCCUAACACAUGCAAGUCGAGCGGUAGCACAGAGAGCUUGCUCUCGGGUGACGAGCGGCGGACGGGUGAGUAAUGUCUGGGAAACUGCCUGAUGGAGGGGGAUAACUACUGGAAACGGUAGCUAAUACCGCAUAACGUCGCAAGACCAAAGUGGGGGACCUUCGGGCCUCAUGCCAUCAGAUGUGCCCAGAUGGGAUUAGCUAGUAGGUGGGGUAAUGGCUCACCUAGGCGACGAUCCCUAGCUGGUCUGAGAGGAUGACCAGCCACACUGGAACUGAGACACGGUCCAGACUCCUACGGGAGGCAGCAGUGGGGAAUAUUGCACAAUGGGCGCAAGCCUGAUGCAGCCAUGCCGCGUGUAUGAAGAAGGCCUUCGGGUUGUAAAGUACUUUCAGCGAGGAGGAAGGCGUUAAGGUUAAUAACCUUGGCGAUUGACGUUACUCGCAGAAGAAGCACCGGCUAACUCCGUGCCAGCAGCCGCGGUAAUACGGAGGGUGCAAGCGUUAAUCGGAAUUACUGGGCGUAAAGCGCACGCAGGCGGUCUGUCAAGUCGGAUGUGAAAUCCCCGGGCUCAACCUGGGAACUGCAUUCGAAACUGGCAGGCUAGAGUCUUGUAGAGGGGGGUAGAAUUCCAGGUGUAGCGGUGAAAUGCGUAGAGAUCUGGAGGAAUACCGGUGGCGAAGGCGGCCCCCUGGACAAAGACUGACGCUCAGGUGCGAAAGCGUGGGGAGCAAACAGGAUUAGAUACCCUGGUAGUCCACGCCGUAAACGAUGUCGACUUGGAGGUUGUGCCCUUGAGGCGUGGCUUCCGGAGCUAACGCGUUAAGUCGACCGCCUGGGGAGUACGGCCGCAAGGUUAAAACUCAAAUGAAUUGACGGGGGCCCGCACAAGCGGUGGAGCAUGUGGUUUAAUUCGAUGCAACGCGAAGAACCUUACCUACUCUUGACAUCCAGAGAACUUAGCAGAGAUGCUUUGGUGCCUUCGGGAACUCUGAGACAGGUGCUGCAUGGCUGUCGUCAGCUCGUGUUGUGAAAUGUUGGGUUAAGUCCCGCAACGAGCGCAACCCUUAUCCUUUGUUGCCAGCGGUCCGGCCGGGAACUCAAAGGAGACUGCCAGUGAUAAACUGGAGGAAGGUGGGGAUGACGUCAAGUCAUCAUGGCCCUUACGAGUAGGGCUACACACGUGCUACAAUGGCAUAUACAAAGAGAAGCGACCUCGCGAGAGCAAGCGGACCUCAUAAAGUAUGUCGUAGUCCGGAUUGGAGUCUGCAACUCGACUCCAUGAAGUCGGAAUCGCUAGUAAUCGUAGAUCAGAAUGCUACGGUGAAUACGUUCCCGGGCCUUGUACACACCGCCCGUCACACCAUGGGAGUGGGUUGCAAAAGAAGUAGGUAGCUUAACCUUCGGGAGGNCGCUUUACC